AGACAGACAGCCCAACGCCCUCCCUUCUUCCUCUAUUUCACCAACUGAACUCCGUUUGUAGAGCUUCGGAUCAGCACCAAUUCGCGUUCCUCGUCUAGCCCAUUGUCUGCAUUAUAUCUCUCUCUGCGCGCCUGCUGCUUCUACCUUGUUCCGAAGCAGGGUUUAGAAGCUUGUUGUGCGUCGUCUUUUCAGAUUGCUCUGUUUUUCUUCCGACGGCGUUGGGGUCGAAUUUCGCAAUUCGUUGGCCUUGCGCGGUUUUUUGUUUUGGGUUAUCUAGAUUUGUGGUUUUUCUUUUUCUAUUUUGGAUUGCGCUUUUGGGUAGAGUGGACGAGUUUUGAGGUCGCAGCGGUGCUGUUGGUGGUGAGAAGAUCCUUCUCGAGACGUUGGUGCUGGUUAUUUGUGGGCGAGUGUUGCGGGUUUGGAUUGGAUAUUUUAGGUGGGGUUGUUGUAGUGUGGGUUCUGUAGUUUCAGUCUCUGGAGAUCCAGGCCGAGCUGUUUGAUCGCACGGGGCUAAUUACCCAAGGUCGACAAGAUGGAGUUGAGUGAGCAAUUUACUCCUCGAAAAUUGACACCAGUAGUACCAACUCACAACAUGACUGUGUCAUCAUAUCAGCUCCUCAUGAUUAUCAGAGCAAAUGUCCAAAACAUGACCAGGGAGACAUGGUCGGAGUUGGAUACAUACAUGAGGGGUGAACUAGGAUACGACAAAUGCAAAGUUGACCACAGAAUCAAC
Physcomitrium patens is the source of this 733-nucleotide non-coding RNA. Lineage: Eukaryota; Viridiplantae; Streptophyta; Bryopsida; Funariales; Funariaceae. The record is from RefSeq and is a predicted model, not a curated record.